UCCUAGCCCCGAUAGCAGUGAAAAUCCUUAUAUGCCAUUGUUUGGUAUAUAAGAUUGUAGCGAAUAGCGGGAAUAGCU
RNAcentral lists this small RNA (78 nucleotides) under Flavobacterium gillisiae. Its description in RNAcentral is "Flavo-1 RNA". It matches the Rfam family "Flavo-1 RNA". The record is from RNAcentral. Lineage: Bacteria; Pseudomonadati; Bacteroidota; Flavobacteriia; Flavobacteriales; Flavobacteriaceae.